CAUGUAGGCGGUCUGUCAAGUCUGAUGUGAAAGCCCGGGGCUCAACCCCGGAAGUGCAUUGGAAACUGGCAGACUUGAGUACGGGAGAGGAAAGUGGAAUUUCGAGUGUAGGGGUGAAAUCCGUAGAUAUUCGAAGGAACACCAGUGGCGAAGGCGGCUUUCUGGACCGAUACUGACGCUGGGAUGCGAAAGCGUGGGGAGCAAACAGGAUUAGAUACCCUGGUAGUCC
Molecule: ribosomal RNA, 229 nt
Filed under: uncultured bacterium
Lineage: Bacteria
Description: partial 16S ribosomal RNA
Rfam family: Bacterial small subunit ribosomal RNA
Source: RNAcentral